This 79-nucleotide transfer RNA is filed under the name Camelus bactrianus (Bactrian camel). It matches the Rfam family "tRNA". Rfam says of the family: Transfer RNA (tRNA) molecules are approximately 80 nucleotides in length. Their secondary structure includes four short double-helical elements and three loops (D, anti-codon, and T loops). The record is from Rfam by way of RNAcentral. RNAcentral also lists the same sequence under 1 other name. Lineage: Eukaryota; Metazoa; Chordata; Mammalia; Artiodactyla; Camelidae.
GAGUGUAUAGCUCAGCAGCAGAGCAUGUGCUAAGUAUGCAUGAAGCACAAAGUCGUGGGUUCAAUCCCCAGUACCUCCA